RNAcentral lists this unclassified non-coding RNA (347 nucleotides) under uncultured fungus. RNAcentral's name for it is "sequence contains ITS1". Lineage: Eukaryota; Fungi. The record is from RNAcentral.
AGGGAGAACUAUACGGGUGGAAUGAAUUUCAGCUAUCGUAAUAAGGCGUUGUUAUUUAAAAAUACGCUGUCUGUUGCUUUUAAUAAAGGUGUUAAUUCCAAUUAUGGCUCAUUUGCUGAGUAUUCAAGACUGAACCCUUAUUGGGUUCCUUAUGAUUCCAAUGGUAAUUAUAUGAAAGUGCUGGAAGCUGUAAAGAACCCGCUUAGCCCAGGAUCUUUAACGUACUACUACAAUCCAUUAUAUAACACAACGAUCAAUACAGUCAAUCAAACAGGGUAUACUAACAUAAUUAACCAAACAAAUAUGGAUUGGUUGAUCGGUAACGGGUUCAGGUUGACGGGUAAAUU